Cercocebus atys (sooty mangabey) is the source of this 91-nucleotide unclassified non-coding RNA. It matches the Rfam family "Y RNA". From Rfam's summary of the family: Y RNAs are components of the Ro ribonucleoprotein particle (Ro RNP), in association with Ro60 and La proteins. Lineage: Eukaryota; Metazoa; Chordata; Mammalia; Primates; Cercopithecidae. The record is from Ensembl.
GGCUGUGCAGUGGUGUUUACAACUAAUUGAUCGCAACUAGUUACAGAUUUCUUUGUUUCUAUUUCCACUGCUUCCACUUGACUAGCCUUAA